Molecule: non-coding RNA, 89 nt
Filed under: Chromobacterium sp. LK11
Lineage: Bacteria; Pseudomonadati; Pseudomonadota; Betaproteobacteria; Neisseriales; Chromobacteriaceae
Source: RNAcentral
CUGCAAGGCGGGGGGUGGCAGGGAGGCCCUAGCGCCUGCCGAUUGCCUUCUUGUCGGUUUUCCACCCCUGUCACCUGCCCGCCACCUGA